CUCCUUAGUAGUCGUUCUCACCAAACAAAGAAACCUCGAAGGUUGAAGCCUCAACCCAAAUUCAAAUUACUUUCUAACGGAAGAAUUCUUGAACACCAUUUCAGCCAACAGAUCCAUUCAAGACAUUUCCUAUAAAUAGAGCUCGAUGAUCACUUCAAUUUUCACCGAUUCAACUACAUAAGCUGAAACGCUACCGAAUUAGUUACUCAGCAUUCAAAGCCACUCUAAAGUUUGAAUCGAAGAAGAGAAUCACAAAGCCAAAAAUCAGUACUGCUGAUUACAUACAUUCUCUUAGAACUUAGGAAAAUAUUGUAUAUCCAAAGCCUAGGUAUAACUGAUUACAGAGAACUUGUUCUUUGUAAUCUAGUUGGCAAGUUUUCGAACCUCUUUUCAAUCAACCGAAUCGAGAAUUUGAGUUGUAAGGAGUUCAGACCAGUGCUCUGUCUCUGAAGAGAUCUUAGUGCCCAGUGUGCGCUAAGAGUGAGAAAUCCAAUCAGGUGUGUUGGUACUGAAGAUAGGAUCUUCAGUUGUCCAAGUUUGCUGUGCACCCGUAAGCACACGCCCAG
Molecule: long non-coding RNA, 566 nt
Filed under: Salvia miltiorrhiza (redroot sage)
Lineage: Eukaryota; Viridiplantae; Streptophyta; Magnoliopsida; Lamiales; Lamiaceae
Description: long non-coding RNA (SMIL_LNC012431)
Source: RNAcentral